Molecule: ribosomal RNA, 406 nt
Filed under: uncultured bacterium
Lineage: Bacteria
Description: partial 16S ribosomal RNA
Rfam family: Bacterial small subunit ribosomal RNA
Source: RNAcentral
GACGAACGCUGGCGGCGCGCUUAACACAUGCAAGUCGAGCGAAGCGGCGGACGGGUGAGUAACACGUAAGUAACCUGCCUUAGACAUUGGGAUAGCCUCGGUAAACCGGGAUUAAUACCAAAUGGUCUACGAUGGACUCGCCUCCCAUUAGCUAGUUGGUGGGUAACGGCCCACACAGGCGACGAUGGGUAGCCGGCCUGAGUGGGUGCACGGCAACAUUGGAAUUGAGAGACGGUCCAAACUCUACGGGAGGCAGCAGUGGGGAAUAUUGCACAAGGGAGGGAACUCUGAUGCAGCGACGCCGCGUGAACGAAGAAGUCUUUCGAGUCGUAAAGUUCUUUUAUAUGGGAAGCGGUACCAUAAGAAAAAGCCCCGGCUAACUACGUGCCAGCCGCCGCGGUAAUUC